This 355-nucleotide ribosomal RNA is filed under the name uncultured Streptococcus sp. RNAcentral describes it as "bacterial SSU rRNA". It matches the Rfam family "Bacterial small subunit ribosomal RNA", at positions 1028 to 1382 of the family's 1533-position model. Lineage: Bacteria; Bacillati; Bacillota; Bacilli; Lactobacillales; Streptococcaceae. The record is from RNAcentral.
AGGGAGACAGGUGGUGCAUGGUUGUCGUCAGCUCGUGUCGUGAGGUGUUGGGUUAAGGUCCCGCAACGAGCGCAACCCCUACUGCCAGUUACUAACAGGUAACGCUGAGGACUCUGGCGGAACUGCCGGUGACAAACCGGAGGAAGGUGGGAUGACGUCAAGUCAUCAUGGCCCCUAUGUCCAGGGCUACACACGUGCUACAAUGGUUGGUACAACGAGUUGCGAGUCGGUGACGGCGAGCUAAUCUCUUAAAGCCAAUCUCAGUUCGGAUUGUAGGCUGCAACUCGCCUACAUGAAGUCGGAAUCGCUAGUAAUCGCGGAUCAGCACGCCGCGGUGAAUACGUUCCCGGGCCUU